AGUGAACGCUGGCGGUAGGCCUAACACAUGCAAGUCGAACGGCAGCACAGUAAGAGCUUGCUCUUACGGGUGGCGAGUGGCGGACGGGUGAGGAAUACAUCGGAAUCUACUUUUUCGUGGGGGAUAACGUAGGGAAACUUACGCUAAUACCGCAUACGACCUACGGGUGAAAGCAGGGGAUCUUCGGACCUUGCGCGAUUGAAUGAGCCGAUGUCGGAUUAGCUAGUUGGCGGGGUAAAGGCCCACCAAGGCGACGAUCCGUAGCUGGUCUGAGAGGAUGAUCCGCCACACUGGAACUGAGACACGGUCCAGACUCCUACGGGAGGCAGCAGUGGGGAAUAUUGGACAAUGAGCGGAAGCCUGAUCCAGCCAUACCGCGUGGGUUAAGAAGGCCUUCGGGUUGUAAAGCCCUUUUGUUGGGAAAGAAAAGCAGCAGGUUAAUACCCCGCUGUUCUGACGGUACCCAAAGAAUAAGCACCGGCUAACUUCGUG
This 492-nucleotide ribosomal RNA is filed under the name uncultured bacterium. Its description in RNAcentral is "partial 16S ribosomal RNA". It matches the Rfam family "Bacterial small subunit ribosomal RNA", at positions 29 to 507 of the family's 1533-position model. The record is from RNAcentral.